Molecule: ribosomal RNA, 633 nt
Filed under: fungal endophyte
Lineage: Eukaryota; Fungi
Description: eukaryotic LSU rRNA
Rfam family: 5.8S ribosomal RNA (bases 191-344)
Source: RNAcentral
CGGAGGGAUCAUUAAAGAGUUCUAUAACUCCCAAACCCAUGUGAACAUACCUAACGUUGCCUCGGCAGGUCGCACCUACCUUGUAGCACCCUACCCUGUAGGGCCUACCCGGGAGGUGCGGGUAAGCCUGCCGGCGGCCCACCAAACUCUGUUUGAUAUUGAAUUCUGAACCUAUAACUAAAUAAGUUAAAACUUUCAACAACGGAUCUCUUGGUUCUGGCAUCGAUGAAGAACGCAGCGAAAUGCGAUAAGUAAUGUGAAUUGCAGAAUUCAGUGAAUCAUCGAAUCUUUGAACGCAUAUUGCGCCCAUUAGUAUUCUAGUGGGCAGGACCGUUCGAGCGUCAUUUCAACCCUUAAGCCUUCGUUGCUUAGUGUUGGGAGCCUACGGCAACGUAGCUCCUCAAAGUUAGUGGCGGAGUUGGUUCACACUCUAGACGUAGUAAUUUUUUAUCUCGCCUAUUAGUUGGACUAAUCCCCUGCCGUAAAACCCCCAAUUUAUCAAGGUUGACCUCGAAUCGGUUCAGACAAACUCGCUAAAUUGAAGCAUCUUAGUCAGCGAAGGAAAAGAAACCAACAGGGAUUGCCCUAGUAACGGCGAGUGAAGCGGCAACAGCUCAAAUUUGAAAUCUGGCC